RNAcentral lists this ribosomal RNA (1690 nucleotides) under Ulcina olrikii. Its description in RNAcentral is "16S ribosomal RNA". It matches the Rfam family "Bacterial large subunit ribosomal RNA". The record is from RNAcentral. Lineage: Eukaryota; Metazoa; Chordata; Actinopteri; Perciformes; Agonidae.
CGCCCAACAGCUAGCCCACUUAAACAAUAUCAACUAACCCCUGUUAAUAACCCCUAAGUACCCCCAUAUUUAAAUUUAAACAAACCAUUUUUCCCCCUGAGUAUAGGUGAUAGAAAGGGGACGAGGCGCAAUAGAGAAAGUACCGCAAGGGAAUGCUGAAAGAGAAAUGAAAUAACCCAGUAAAGCCUUAAAAAGCAGAGAUUCAACCUCGUACCUUUUGCAUCAUGAUUUAGCAAGUGUACAUCAAGCAAAGAGCACUUUAGUUUGACGCCCCGAAACUAAGUGAGCUACUCCAAGACAGCCUGUUAAUAGGGCGUACCCGUCUCUGUGGCAAAAGAGUGGGGAGAGCUUUGAGUAGAGGUGAUAAACCUACCGAACCUAGUUAUAGCUGGUUGUCCAAGAAAUGAAUAGGAGUUCAGCCUCUUGACUUCUUUUUUCACCUUAGUCUAACCCCUAUUGAUGCAUUAAAGAAAUCGAGAGAGUUAGUCAAAGGGGGUACAGCCCCUUUGAAUCAAGACACAACUUUAUCAGGAGGGUAAAGAUCAUAAUAAUUAAAGCUAAAUAUUCUGGUGGGCCUAAAAGCAGCCACUCCCUUAGAAAGCGUUAAAGCUCAGAUAUAUUACUAAACCCUUCUUAUUCUGAUUACCAAAUCUUACCCCCCUAACCGUACUGGACCAUCCCAUGCUUGCAUGGGAGUGACUAUGCUAAUAUGAGUAAUAAGAGAGCCGAAGACUCUCUCCCCGCAUACGUGUACGUCAGAACGGACAACCCGCUGACUCUUAACGACCCCAAACAAAGAGGGCAUUGGAUAAUAAACCGACAACUAGAAAAACAUCCAAGAAUCAACCGUUAACCCCACACAGGUAUGCCCCUGGGGAAAGACUAAAAGAAAGAGAAGGAACUCGGCAAACACACAAGCCUCGCCUGUUUACCAAAAACAUCGCCUCUUGUAAACUCAAAAAUAAGAGGUCCCGCCUGCCCUGUGACUAUUUGUUUAACGGCCGCGGUAUUUUGACCGUGCGAAGGUAGCGCAAUCACUUGUCUUUUAAAUGGAGACCCGUAUGAAUGGCAUAACGAGGGCUUAACUGUCUCCUCUUUCAAGUCAAUGAAAUUGAUCUCCCCGUGCAGAAGCGGGGAUAAAAACAUAAGACGAGAAGACCCUAUGGAGCUUUAGACACCAAGGCAGCCCACGUUAAGCAYCCUGAAUAAAGRACUAAACCAAGUGUGCCCUGCUUCAAUGUCUUUGGUUGGGGCGACCGCGGGGAAUUAAAUAACCCCCACGUGGAAUGGGAGCACUCCUCCUACAACUAAGAGCUACAGCUCUAGUAAACAGAAUUUCUGACCAAUAAGAUCCGGCAGUGCCGAUCAACGGACCGAGUUACCCUAGGGAUAACAGCGCAAUCCUCUUUUAGAGCCCAUAUCGACAAGGGGGUUUACGACCUCGAUGUUGGAUCAGGACAUCCUAAUGGUGCAGCCGCUAUUAAGGGUUCGUUUGUUCAACGAUUAAAGUCCUACGUGAUCUGAGUUCAGACCGGAGUAAUCCAGGUCAGUUUCUAUCUAUGCUAUGCUCUUUUCUAGUACGAAAGGACCGAAAAGAAGAGGCCAAUGUUAGAGACACGCCUCCCCCUCACCUAAUGAAGUCAACUAAAGUAGGCAAAAGGGCAUAUCCCUUUGCCUUAGAGAAAGGCAU